Molecule: ribosomal RNA, 465 nt
Filed under: uncultured bacterium
Lineage: Bacteria
Description: partial 16S ribosomal RNA
Rfam family: Bacterial small subunit ribosomal RNA
Source: RNAcentral
CCUACGGGUGGCAGCAGUGGGGAAUAUUGCGCAAUGGGCGAAAGCCUGACGCAGCGACGCCGCGUGAGGGAUGAAGGUCUUCGGAUCGUAAACCUCUGUCAGCAGGGAAGAACGGUCACUGUGCUAAUCAGCAGUGAAUUGACGGUACCUGCAAAGGAAGCACCGGCUAACUCCGUGCCAGCAGCCGCGGUAAUACGGAGGGUGCGAGCGUUAAUCGGAAUUACUGGGCGUAAAGCGCUCGUAGGCGGUAUGUCAAGGCAAGGGGGAAAUCCCCGCGCUCAACGUGGGAACUGCAUUUGAAACUGGCAAACUGGAGUGUGUGAGAGGAUAGUGGAAGUCCAGGUGUAGGGGUGAAAUCCGUAGAUAUCUGGAGGAACAUCAGUGGCGAAGGCGACUAUCUGGCACAUAACUGACGCUGAGGAGCGAAAGCGUGGGUAGCAAACAGGAUUAGAUACCCGUGUAGUC